UACGUAGGUGACAAGCGUUGUCCGGAUUUACUGGGCGUAAAGAGCGCGCAGGCGGUCGUUCAAGUCGAGUGUGAAAGCCCCCGGCUCAACUGGGGAGGGUCACUCGAUACUGAUCGACUCGAAGGCAGGAGAGGGAAGUGGAAUUCCCGGUGUAGUGGUGAAAUGCGUAGAUAUCGGGAGGAACACCAGUGGCGAAGGCGGCAGCCUGGACCAUAACUGACGCUGAGGCGCGAAAGCUAGGGGAGCAAACGGG
This 253-nucleotide ribosomal RNA is filed under the name uncultured bacterium. RNAcentral's name for it is "partial 16S ribosomal RNA". It matches the Rfam family "Bacterial small subunit ribosomal RNA", at positions 524 to 776 of the family's 1533-position model. The record is from RNAcentral.